RNAcentral lists this unclassified non-coding RNA (155 nucleotides) under uncultured fungus. Its description in RNAcentral is "sequence contains ITS1". Lineage: Eukaryota; Fungi. The record is from RNAcentral.
UUUUUGAUUUUUAUUUGAGAUUUCGUCAAGCGACGAUGUUUUAUCGGAGUUUGGAAAAAACUCUACUGCCUACAAAGUAGUAGUAGUAGAGUUUCAAAAAAAGCGAAUCUUUCGAUUCUUUUUUAAUGAUCCUUCCGCAGGUUCACCUACGGAAA